Molecule: ribosomal RNA, 609 nt
Filed under: Triticum aestivum (bread wheat)
Lineage: Eukaryota; Viridiplantae; Streptophyta; Magnoliopsida; Poales; Poaceae
Description: partial small subunit ribosomal RNA
Source: RNAcentral
AUGGCGACCAUAGCCACGAUGACCAUGCUCAAGCCCGCCAAGAUCACGGCCAGGUCGGCGCCUUCGUCGCCGUCGUCCAGCGCCAAGGUGGCGUCGCCGAGCAUCUCGCUGCGCAGCCUGCAGAAGAACGCGGCCAAGAAGGGAGCCCUGGCCGUGUCGCCGGCGGCCGCGGCCAUGGCGAGCGCCUUCUUCACCUCGCUGGCCUCGUCGGACGCGGCGAUGGCGUCGCAGCGGAUCGCGGACGUGGCGGCGGCGGCCCCCGCGGACGACAACCGGGGCCUGCUCCUGCUCUUCGUGGUGGCGCCCGCGCUCGGGUGGGUGCUCUACAACAUCCUCCAGCCGGCGCUGAACCAGCUCAACAAGAUGCGGUCCGAGAAGGCGCUCGUCGCCGGGCUCGGCAUCGGCGCCGCCGCGGCCGCCGGCCUGGCCGCCGUGCCGGAGCCGGCCUCCGCUGCCGUGCAGGAGCUGGCCGCGCUGGCGGCGGUCGCGCCGGCCGACGACAACCGGGGCCUGCUGCUGCUCUUCGUGGUGGCGCCCGCCCUCGGCUGGGUGCUCUACAACAUCCUGCAGCCGGCGCUGAACCAGCUCAACAAAAUGCGAUCCAACUGA